Molecule: long non-coding RNA, 249 nt
Filed under: Solanum tuberosum (potato)
Lineage: Eukaryota; Viridiplantae; Streptophyta; Magnoliopsida; Solanales; Solanaceae
Description: long non-coding RNA (STUB_LNC007113)
Source: RNAcentral
UCAAAUUUUGACUCGAAUGUGUAGUUAUGGAAGAUUUCAGAUGAUGAAAUUCCUUGUAGUCAUGAUAUUGAUGCACAUACAGAGACAAACAUGAUGAUGACUAUUGCUUAGCCUGUUAUAGUAAUGAAAAUUUUCCAGAUACUUAUGCAAUGCCAUUGACCAUUUGCCAUGCUAAUGAAUAUGGGAAAUCCCAUCACAUGUUUUGAGAAAAAUAGUCUUACCACCACAUGCAAGACGAUAUUGAGGGAC